CCUACGGGAGGCAGCAGUGAGGAAUAUUGCACAAUGGGCGAAACCCUGAUCCAGCCACGCCGCGUGAGUGAAGAAGUCUUUCGGUAUGUAAAGCUCUUUCAGCCGGGAAGAAAAUGACGGUACCUGACUCAGAAGCCCCGGCUAACUACGUGCCAGCAGCCGCGGUCAUACGUAGGGCGCCAGCGUUAUCCGGAUUUAUUGGGGGUAAAGGGAGCGUAGGCGGCGAGACAAGUCAGAAGUGAAAGCCCAGGGCUGAACCCUGGGACUGCUUUUGAAACUGCCGGGCUGGAGUGGAGGAGAGGUAGGCGGAAUGCGUGGUGUAGCGGUGAAAUGCGUAGAUAUUAGGAGGAACACCAGUGGCGAAGGCAGCUUACUGGACUGCAACUGACGUUGAGGCACGAAAGCGUGGGGAGCAAACAGGAUUAGAUACCCCUGUAGUC
This 440-nucleotide ribosomal RNA is filed under the name uncultured bacterium. RNAcentral describes it as "partial 16S ribosomal RNA". It matches the Rfam family "Bacterial small subunit ribosomal RNA", at positions 338 to 795 of the family's 1533-position model. The record is from RNAcentral.